UUCAACUCCCAACCCCUGUUUAACAUACUAUACGUUGCCUCGCCGGAUCAUUACCGCGCCCCGUAAAAAGGGACGGCCCGCCCGAGGACCCCUAAACUCUGUUUUUAGUGGAACUUCUGAGUAAAACAAACAAAUAAAUCAAAACUUUCAACAACGGAUCUCUUGGUUCUGGCAUCGAUGAAGAACGCAGCAAAAUGCGAUAAGUAAUGUGAAUUGCAGAAUUCAGUGAAUCAUCGAAUCUUUGAACGCACAUUGCGCCCGCCAGUAUUCUGGCGGGCAUGCCUGUUCGAGACGUCAUUUCAACCCUCAAGCUCAGCUUGGAUGUAAGGGACUCGCGGUAACCCGCGUUCCCCAAAUCGAUUGGCGGUCACGUACGAGCUUCCAUAGCGUAGUAAUCAUACAGCCUCGUUACUAGGUAAUCGUCGACGGACCACGCCGUAAAACCCCAACUUCUGAAUGUUAGACCUCGGAUCAGGUAGGAAUACCCGACUGAACUUAAGCAUAUCAAUAA
This 511-nucleotide ribosomal RNA is filed under the name Fusarium sp. UFMGCB 2147. RNAcentral's name for it is "eukaryotic LSU rRNA". The stretch from base 143 to 297 matches the Rfam family "5.8S ribosomal RNA". Lineage: Eukaryota; Fungi; Ascomycota; Sordariomycetes; Hypocreales; Nectriaceae. The record is from RNAcentral.